This is a non-coding RNA of Cricetulus griseus (Chinese hamster), 89 nucleotides long. Lineage: Eukaryota; Metazoa; Chordata; Mammalia; Rodentia; Cricetidae. The record is from Rfam.
CCUUCGAUAGCUCAGUUGGUAGAGCGGAGGACUGUAGAGAGAUCACUUUGGACAUCCUUAGGUCGCUGGUUCGAAUCCGGCUCGAAGGA